UAGCCCUAAAUCUUGAUGACCCCAAACACAAACAUCCGCCUGAGAACUACGAGCACAAACGCUUAAAACUCUAAGGACUUGGCGGUGCUCUAAACCCACCUAGAGGAGCCUGUUCUAUAAUCGAUAACCCACGAUCCACCCGACCACCUCUUGCCAAAACAGCCUAUAUACCGCCGUCGCCAGCCCACCUCGUGAGAGCACAACAGUGAGCCCAACAGCCCACAGCCCACUAACAAGACAGGUCGAGGUAUAGCCUAUGAGAUGGAAGAAAUGGGCUACAUUUUCUAAAAUAGAAAACCCAACGAAAAGGGGCUUGAAACCUGCCCCCAGAAGGCGGAUUUAGCAGUAAAGUAGGA
Molecule: ribosomal RNA, 356 nt
Filed under: Ara macao (Scarlet macaw)
Lineage: Eukaryota; Metazoa; Chordata; Aves; Psittaciformes; Psittacidae
Description: partial 12S small subunit ribosomal RNA
Rfam family: Bacterial small subunit ribosomal RNA
Source: RNAcentral